AGAGUUUGAUCCUGGCUCAGAAUGAACGCUGGCGGCGUGCCUAACACAUGCAAGUCGAACGAGAAAGUUCCUUCGGGAAUGAGUAGAGUGGCGCACGGGUGAGUAACGCGUGGGUAAUCUGCCCUUGGAUUUGGGAUAACUUCGCGAAAGUGGAGCUAAUACCGGAUAGUCUGGCUUUGUAAAAGGAGUCGGUAAAGGAUGCCUCUGCAUAUGCAUUCGUCCGAGGAUGAGCCCGCGUCUCAUUAGCUAGUUGGUAGGGUAACGGCCUACCAAGGCGACGAUGAGUAGCUGGUCUGAGAGGAUGAUCAGCCACACUGGGACUGAAACACGGCCCAGACUCCUGCGGGAGGCAGCAGUGGGGAAUAUUGCGCAAUGGGCGAAAGCCUGACGCAGCAACGCCGUGUGAGGGAUGAAGGUUUUCGGAUCGUAAACCUCUGUCAGAAGGGAAGAAGUGGUGCGGGUCCAACAGGCCCGUAUCUUGACGGUACCUUCAAAGGAAGCACCGGCUAACUCCGUGCCAGCAGCCGCGGUAAUACGGAGGGUGCAAGCGUUAUUCGGAAUUACUGGGCGUAAAGCGCACGUAGGCGGCCUUGUAAGUCAGGUGUGAAAUCCCACGGCUCAACCGUGGAACUGCACUUGAAACUGCGGGGCUCGAAUCCUGGAGAGGGCGGCGGAAUUCCUGGUGUAGGAGUGAAAUCCGUAGAUAUCAGGAGGAACACCGGUGGCGAAGGCGGCCGCCUGGACAGGUAUUGACGCUGAGGUGCGAAAGUGUGGGGAGCAAACAGGAUUAGAUACCCUGGUAGUCCACACCGUAAACGAUGGAUACUAGGUGUCGGGGACUUGAUCCUCGGUGCCGCAGUUAACGCGUUAAGUAUCCCGCCUGGGGAGUACGGUCGCAAGGCUGAAACUCAAAGAAAUUGACGGGGGCCCGCACAAGCGGUGGAGUAUGUGGUUUAAUUCGAUGCAACGCGAAGAACCUUACCUGGGCUUGACAUCCUGGGAAUUCCGCAGAGAUGCGGAAGUGCCCUUCGGGGAAUCCAGAGACAGGUGCUGCAUGGCUGUCGUCAGCUCGUGCCGUGAGGUGUUGGGUUAAGUCCCGCAACGAGCGCAACCCCUAUCCUCAGUUGCCAGCAGGUAAAGCUGGGCACUCUGUGGAGACUGCCCGGGUUAACCGGGAGGAAGGUGGGGACGACGUCAAGUCAUCAUGGCCCUUACGCCCAGGGCUACACACGUACUACAAUGGUGGGCACAAAGGGCAGCGAAACCGCGAGGUCCAGCCAAUCCCAAAAAAACCAUCAUAGUCCGGAUUGCAGUCUGCAACUCGACUGCAUGAAGUUGGAAUCGCUAGUAAUCCCGGAUCAGCAUGCCGGGGUGAAUACGUUCCCGGGCCUUGUACACACCGCCCGUCACACCACGAAAGUCGGUUCUACCCGAAGCCGCCAGGCUAACCCGCAAGGGAUGCAGGCGUCUACGGUAGGGCUGGUAAUUGGGGUGAAGUCGUAACAAGGUAACC
This 1513-nucleotide ribosomal RNA is filed under the name Desulfomicrobium orale. Its description in RNAcentral is "16S ribosomal RNA". It matches the Rfam family "Bacterial small subunit ribosomal RNA". The record is from RNAcentral. Lineage: Bacteria; Pseudomonadati; Thermodesulfobacteriota; Desulfovibrionia; Desulfovibrionales; Desulfomicrobiaceae.